Molecule: unclassified non-coding RNA, 279 nt
Filed under: plant metagenome
Description: partial contains small subunit ribosomal RNA, internal transcribed spacer 1, and 5.8S ribosomal RNA
Source: RNAcentral
UUUCCGUAGGUGAACCUGCGGAAGGAUCAUUAUUGUACAACUGAUGUGCGAGGGUUGUCGCUGACCCGAAAGGUCGUUCAGGCCAGUGUUCCUUCACACACAUUUAUCUUACCCCUCAGUGCUCUACCGCGUGGGUUCUCCCUUGGUUCGUUUGGUGGGAGGCUUAGGUUUUACUACAUACAUUAUAUGCAUUGCAACAAGUAAUCUCUUUUUUUGCGUCUCUGCAAAGAACACAACUUACAACAAGGGAUCUCUUGGCAAUCCCAUCGACGAAGAACA